AAUGCGUAGAUAUCUGGGAGAACGCCAACGCCGAAGGCAGCUUGCUGGCUCGUUCCAGACGCUGAGGCACGAAAGCUAGGGGAGCGAACAGGAUUAGAUACCCUGGUAGUCCCUAGCUGUAACGGAUGGGCACUAGGUAUCGGGACCUCUGAUGGUUUUGGUACCGCAGCUAACGCGUUAAGUGCCCCGCCUGGGGAGUAUGGUCGCAAGGCUAAAACUCAAAGGAAUUGACGGGGGCUCACACAAGCGGUGGAGCAUGUUGUUUAAUUCGAAGCAACGCGAAGAACCUUACCUGGGCUUGACAUGCUGGAAGUAGAACCCUGAAAGGGGAACCACCGGUACCCAAUCCGGAACCAGCACAGGUGCUGCAUGGCUGUCGUCAGCUCGUGUCGUGAGACGUUGGGUUAAGUCCCGUAACGAGCGAAACCCUUGUCGCCUGUUGCUACCGGGUCAUGCCGGGCACUCUGGCGAGACUGCCGCUCUCAAACCGGAGGAAGGCGGGGACGACGUCAAGUCAUCAUGGUCCUUACGUCCAGGGCUACAAACGUGCUACAAUGGCAGGUACAGAGAGAAGCAAGACCGCGAGGUGGAGCAAAUCUUCAAAGCCUGCCCCAGUUCAGAUUGGAGGCUGCAAUUCGCCUCCAUGAAGGUGGAUCGCUAGAAUCGCGGAUCCCCAUGCCGCGGGAAUGGUUCCGAGCUGUACACACCGCCCGUCAAGCCACCCAAGCUG
This 730-nucleotide ribosomal RNA is filed under the name uncultured organism. Its description in RNAcentral is "bacterial SSU rRNA". It matches the Rfam family "Bacterial small subunit ribosomal RNA", at positions 685 to 1413 of the family's 1533-position model. The record is from RNAcentral.